UACGGAGGGUGCGAGCGUUGUCCGGAAUCAUUGGGCGUAAAGGGCGCGUAGGUGGCUUCUCAAGCGUGCGGUGAAAGCCUGGGGCUCAACCCCGGGUCGGCCGUGCGAACUGGGGGGCUGGAGCACUGUAGAGGCAGGCGGAAUUCCGGGUGUAGCGGUGGAAUGCGUAGAGAUCCGGAAGAACACCGGUGGCGAAGGCGGCCUGCUGGGCAGUUAGCUGACACUGAGGCGCGACAGCGUGGGGA
RNAcentral lists this ribosomal RNA (245 nucleotides) under uncultured bacterium. RNAcentral describes it as "partial 16S ribosomal RNA". It matches the Rfam family "Bacterial small subunit ribosomal RNA", at positions 524 to 767 of the family's 1533-position model. The record is from RNAcentral.